CGGGGAUUGGCGCAAUUGGCUAGCGCGCACGGAUGGGGUCCGUGAGGCUGAUGGUUCGAAUCCAUUAUCCCCGACCA
This 77-nucleotide transfer RNA is filed under the name Candidatus Shapirobacteria bacterium CG2_30_35_20. RNAcentral's name for it is "tRNA-Pro". It matches the Rfam family "tRNA". From Rfam's summary of the family: Transfer RNA (tRNA) molecules are approximately 80 nucleotides in length. Their secondary structure includes four short double-helical elements and three loops (D, anti-codon, and T loops). Further hydrogen bonds mediate the characteristic L-shaped molecular structure. tRNAs have two regions of fundamental functional importance: the anti-codon, which is responsible for specific mRNA codon recognition, and the 3' end, to which the tRNAs corresponding amino acid is attached (by aminoacyl-tRNA synthetases). tRNAs cope with the degeneracy of the genetic code in two manners: having more than one tRNA (with a specific anti-codon) for a particular amino acid; and 'wobble' base-pairing, i.e. permitting non-standard base-pairing at the 3rd anti-codon position. RNAcentral also lists the same sequence under 2 other names. The record is from RNAcentral. Lineage: Bacteria; Candidatus Shapironibacteriota.